This is a long non-coding RNA of Herpailurus yagouaroundi (jaguarundi), 1408 nucleotides long. RefSeq lists it as uncharacterized. The record is from RefSeq and is a predicted model, not a curated record. The transcript is spliced from 2 exons. Lineage: Eukaryota; Metazoa; Chordata; Mammalia; Carnivora; Felidae.
UCGUGCUCCCCGAGGUGGGACUCGAACUCGCGAACCGUGAGAUCAUGACCUGAGCCAAAGUCGGACGCUUAACCGACUGAGCCACCCGGGUGCCCUCUAACUUCUUGAUAGUGAGGUAUUAGACUGUGACUUUUUUCUAAGUUGGACCCUCUUCAUUCUAAUAAUUGUUGAUUGUCCAUGAUGGUUUAGCUGUAAUGGGGGCCUGGGGCCGACGGCCAAGAAAGAAUUCUUGAGACAUCUUCAGUGCAAAAGGGUGAUUCUAUUCAAGCAUGAGGGCAGGAUCUGGGGGCAGGAAGAGCUGUUUGAGCAUGUAACUAUUGAAAUAAUAAAAAUAUUAAGAUCCUUUUAAUUAUGUAUAUCUCUGCCAGUGCAAACAUAACCCUGGGAGAGCAAAGAGAUUCUAUGCCCCCUUCCUUUCCUCAGCAUUUGGCCUUCCUCUGCCUGCAGCUCGUGGUCAACCAAACUGAUCUGCUUCUUCCUUUCCGUCUUUUCCAGGAGUCUUGGCUGAACUUAAACCAUAAAUCGAAGGCACACAGAGAACAUCAGCAGGUUCGGAAAAUAUACCUUCUCUCCUUUUACGUGCAACCGUGAAUGGAGCCACAGCCUGAUUUGCUGGUGGUGUUGAGGAGCAAGGAGGCUCACUCCGGAAGAAUCACCUCCCCCAGGAAGCCCAGCCAGAGGAUUCUGAUCCCAGGGCGGUUCCAAAACUUCCCCAGCCUAAGGAGCUUGGAGCAUGAUGCCUGGGACAAGAACCAAACCAUAGUCUGAGGGCUCCAAGAACAAUCUCCCACUGUACUGGGUUGAAUGGUAGCUCGCCAAAAAGAUGUCGACGUGUCAGAACCCGUGAUGGUGACCUUAUUUGGAAGAAGGGUCUUUGCAAGAUGUAGUUACGGAUCUCGAGAUUAUCCUGGAUUAGCCAGGUCAUCCAGUUUAAUGGCAAGACAGAAAAGAGAAGACAGACACCGAGAAGAAGGCCAUGUGAAGACAGAGGCAGAGAUUAGAGACGCUGCCACGAGCCAGGAAACACCAGGAGCCGCCAGGAGCUGGAAGAGGCAAGGAAGGAUUCUCCCCUACCGCCUUUGGAGGAACAGCCCUCCCAACAUCCUGAUUUUGGACUUCCAGCCUCCAGAACUGUGAGAAUGAAUUUUUGUUGUUUGAAGCCCCCAAGUUGUGGUAAUCUUUUAUGACCUUCCUAUUUUCCUAGGAAAUUCAUAUGCUCCCCCCCUUUAAAAAAAUGACACUGACUUUUUUAAAAGUCUAGGAAUUGUUGUAUUAUCGAAUGUCCCAAUUCUGAAAUUGUCUUCAGAUUGACCUUUUAAAGUCAUAAAUCAGAUCAAGUCAUUCCCUUGCUUAAAACCCUCCAACGGCUUUUCAUUGCAUUAAAAUAAAAUAAGCUAUAAACUCUUUA